AGCUGAUGCACAUGGUGGCUCCCUCCCAGUUCCACCGCAGCAGCUGUUCCCCUCUGGAGGUUUAUUGACCUUCAUAACUUGCAAGGGCCUUGGAGCAAUCCGGAGGCCCUUUUUU
RNAcentral lists this small RNA (115 nucleotides) under Rhizobium sp. RU36D. RNAcentral's name for it is "Alphaproteobacterial ar15". It matches the Rfam family "Alphaproteobacterial ar15". Lineage: Bacteria; Pseudomonadati; Pseudomonadota; Alphaproteobacteria; Hyphomicrobiales; Rhizobiaceae. The record is from Rfam by way of RNAcentral.